This 292-nucleotide ribosomal RNA is filed under the name uncultured bacterium. RNAcentral describes it as "partial 16S ribosomal RNA". The record is from RNAcentral.
GGACUACCCGGGUAUCUAAUCCUGUUUGCUCCCCACGCUUUCGCGCCUCAGUGUCAGUUUGGACCCAGGUGGCCGCCUUCGCCACGGAUGUUCUUUCCGAUCUCUACGCAUUUCACCGCUACACCGGAAAUUCCACCACCCUCUGUCCAACUCAAGUCUUGCAGUUUUCAACGCAGUUCCCAGGUUAAGCCCGGGGCUUUCACAUCAAACUUACAAAACCACCUACACGCCCUUUACGCCCAGUAAUUCCGAUUAACGCUCGCACCCUCUGUAUUACCGCGGCUGCUGGCAC